Molecule: long non-coding RNA, 2360 nt
Organism: Ficedula albicollis (Collared flycatcher)
Lineage: Eukaryota; Metazoa; Chordata; Aves; Passeriformes; Muscicapidae
Source: Ensembl
AAGCUGAUGAAUUUCCCUCUCCCAGAAUUCAGGAGAAUCCAGGCUGGGCCCUUUUCCAGGGAUUUCCUGAGGCUGGCACUGCCUUGGAUCUCAGGAUGGGGCUGGAAUGAGGUCCAGGCUCAGGAUUAAAUUUGUAUUUUGGGGCAUUUUGGGUGUUUCUAAGGAAGGAUGGGGCUGUGAUGUGCUGAUCCAUGUCCUGUGUGAUUCCCACGUGGAUUCUGAUUUUCCUAUGAGGAUCUGACCCCCAACUCGCCAAAAAAAAAGCUGUGAGGACAUAAAAUUCCAGCUGGCUGUGCUGCAAAUGAGAGUAAAAACAAACCAACCAUUUCUAUUUGCUCUGAUCUCUCUUUUAAAGCCUUUCUAAAAUGCCAUAAACUGGGGCCUUUUCCUUUCCACAUUAAAAAUCAUGGGUUGGUUUGGGUUGGGAGGGAUUUUAAAAUCAUCCAUGGCAGAGUUUCACCAUCCCAGGGAGCUCCAAGCUGGCCUUGGACUCUUCCAGGGAUGGAGCAGCCACAGCUCCUCUGGGAAUUCCAUUCCAGGGAAGAAAACCACAAUUAACUGGUGCUUUUAACCAAUUAAAAGAAAACAACUUUCGAAUUUGCUGCUUUAGCAGCUGCUGCUGGUGGUGGGAGGGAUAAAAACCCCCAGAGCCAGGUGGUGCUCAGCUGUUAGAGGAGCUGGAGAUUUGCAAAGUGAAAAAAGUAUAAAUACAAACCCCUGGCUCCUGGAGAUAAACCCCAAUUUGGGUGCCCACCUUGCAGCUGGGCACUGCUGCCUUAUCAAAGGGGGUGUAGCAGUGGGCCUGAGUGCUGAGGCUUUGAUAAGGAGCUCCAGGUCCCCUUAUCAGCUGGGAGGGGCUGUGGGUGCUGCCCCACCCCCAGGAGCCUUUCGCUGCCUGCUGGUUCCUCCCAAAAUUCCUGGGUGCUGUUCCUGCUGUCCAACAGCUGCUCCAGGCUCUGGGAUGGAAGUCCUGGACCAGCCCUGGGGCUCGUUCCUGGAUUUCUUUGGCUGCUGCCACUGAGGGAAUCAGCUCCGUGUUCCCUUGAGGAACAGAGAAUUCCCAGCACAAAUAAGAAAAGGAGGAAGGAGAACAGCCCGUGCUUCCCCCCAGGUACCCAGCAUGUGACCACACCUGGACUCUCUCACCUCAUUUCCAAACCCAACAUUUCAUUUUCCUGCUUUUUCCCGGCUCUGAGGAUGGUUCUCCUCCUUCCCAACACAGCAAUAAAUUACCCUGCAGUAUCAUGGCAAUGGUUAACCUUGAUUUGAGAUCAACACCUCCUUCCCUGCGAGGUCGAACUCCAAACAAUCCUUCGGAGGGGAAUCAAAUGAAAUCAGGAGCUGCUCCCUGAGCCACAAAGACUUUGCCUCCUUCUCCCGGAGAGCACCACAUUUUUCUGAUUUGGGCUGGUUUCAUGGCGGGACAAGGAAAUUGUGUAAGACAUGAGGGGAGAGAAGCGUUUUUGGGGAGCAGGGACACGAGGGGAGCCCCACACAAGGAGUGGGAUCUGCAGGGAGGGAUGGGGGAUGCUGUGGAUCCCAAAAUCAAAGGAAUAAAGUUUUCCUGAGCUCUUCCAUCAGGUUUUUUUCCCCUCACAGUGAGACACAGGCAGGCAGGGGAGGGGUUGGGGCAGCACAGGAGGGGACACCCCCAGGACUCCUCACAAAACCCAAAAAAACCCCAAAAAACCCCUGAUCAGCAGCACAGGAACUAAGUGAAGCUUCUUUGUGCUUUGGGGACAGUUUGGGGCUGCCAUAGGGACGAUUUGGGGCUGCUUUUGGGAACAAUUUGGGGCUGCUUUGGGGAAAGUUUAGGGCUCUUUUGGGGACAAUUUGGGGCUGCUAUAGGGACAUUUUGGGGGUCUUUUGGGUACCCUGCAGGGAAAACAGCCCUUUUGCCCAUGGAAUCUCCAACUCCAGGUCUGAUUAAACCUUCCUCUGCAUCACCAGCGGGUAAUUGCGGAGGGGAGGAAACUUUCGUGAGGGUGCCCGUCCUUUCGUGAGGGAGCCCACCUUUCCGUGAGGGUGCCCGUCCCUUUAUGAGGGAGCCCAUCCUUUCAUGAAGGAGCCCGUCCAUUUGUGAGGGUGCCCGUCCUUUCCUGAGGGAGCCCGUCCUGGCACAAGGGGUGGGUGCCAACUCUGAGGGGCUGUGAGCUCGCACAGGACACGGGACAUUCACAGGUGACACCCCGGGAGUGCCAGGAAUCGCUAAAUCUCCCCUUCCUUCCCCUCAGCACGCCUUUCUCCCCGCGGGCAGACGCCAAUGGCAGGGGGGGGGGGGGGGGGGGGGGGGGGGGGGGGGGGGGGGGGGGGGGGGGGGGGGGGGGGGGGGGGGGGGGGGGGGGGGGGGGGGGGGGGGG